GCGAAGAACUUUNCCNGGGUCUUGACAUCCCUCUGACCGGCUUAGAGAUAAGCCUUUCCUUCGGGACAGAGGUGACAGGUGGUGCAUGGUUGUCGUCAGCUCGUGUCGUGAGAUGUUGGGUUAAGUCCCGCAACGAGCGCAAACCCUUGAACUUAGUUGCCAGCAGGUUGAGCUGGGCACUCUAAGUUGACUGCCGGUGACAAACCGGAGGAAGGCGGGGAUGACGUCAAAUCAUCAUGCCCCUUAUGACCUGGGCUACACACGUACUACAAUGGCCGGUACAACGGGAAGCGAAGGAGCGAUCCGGAGCCAAUCCUAGAAAAGCCGGUCUCAGUUCGGAUUGCAGGCUGCAACUCGCCUGCAUGAAGUCGGAAUUGCUAGUAAUCGCGGAUCAGCAUGCCGCGGUGAAUACGUUCCCGGG
RNAcentral lists this ribosomal RNA (421 nucleotides) under Paenibacillus sp. VA-22. RNAcentral describes it as "bacterial SSU rRNA". It matches the Rfam family "Bacterial small subunit ribosomal RNA", at positions 961 to 1378 of the family's 1533-position model. Lineage: Bacteria; Bacillati; Bacillota; Bacilli; Caryophanales; Paenibacillaceae. The record is from RNAcentral.